UCCGUACCGCGCUCGUCCCCGGUCCGUGAAAACGUCACUUUGCUGUGAGUCUCUCGCUGAACCUUUUUGGGGUAACGACAGCAGAAGGGGCACCUCAUCAGUGUGGCAUCUCGGAAGGGAAGGCACUCGUGUGUCGCCGAACAUACAGCGUCAGGAUGGAGGUGUCAAGGAGGUGGAUCUUACAGAAGCAUCUGCAGCCAGCCAGACCACUGCGGCGCUGCAGUACUGACCAGGUCCUUGAGGGGAAUUGAGCGAGUGAGUGCACACUUCAGAGAGAAGGGUAGAGAAUCAGACUGCAGCCAGUGUCACACUUUCUCUUUAUACAGACCCCUGCUUUAGAAAUGCUGAGACAUCUGCGUGUGGACAAGCAGGAGACAAACCAAUGAACUGUAUUGGAGUGGAACAGUUUUUUGAAAUCCUCCAUCUCCAAACUCAGACUCCACCAAAAGACUCCACCCCAACUAAAGUGAGGAUAUCUUACACUAGAGACUUCCUGAUUCAACUGGCCAGUUCCCCCAUUGCCAAAAGAAAACCGGACUUCUUACCAGAACACCCCGUUGUUUUGGAAAAGGCGAGAGAACCUGGUGUGCCAAGGUUGGAGAAGAGGUUUGAUGAAAACUAUUAAAUGCUAACAUGGAGCGAGUGCUGCUGCUGCUUUUGAACCCACACCACUACAACUUGCUCUGCCAUCGAGUGAUAUACCACCCCCCCCAAAAAAAACAUCCCCAGUUGAGUCCAGAACACCACCGGCAUGAGCUGCGUCCCAAAUAGCACCCUAUUUCUUAUUUGUGCACUACUUUUGACCAGGGUCAAUAGGGUUCAUUUCAUAAAUGGGGAUGACCAUUAGGGAUGUAGCGUGGGGUAUAAAAAAAUGUUGGUUCCUUUGACAAAUGUUGGUUCCUUUUGGUGGACACAAACCUGAAAAUGUACCGUAGCCUACAUGUUUAACUUGUGUGCUUCAAUCUAAAAUAAUAAUGAAUGCUUGAAUGAUGUGCCUUGAUGCUAACAAAUGCCCCUUGCACUGUGUGGUGUUUACAUAUUACAUAAUACUAAUAACGCCACAGUGGAGGCCAUUGGCUCUGAGUAAAAUUACAACGACCUCCAAGAUAAACACUACAUCCAUUUAACCCUUACAACGACCUCCAAGACCAACACUACAUUCAUUUAACCCUUACGACCUCCAAGACCAACACUACAUUCAUUUAACCCUUACAACGACCUCCAAGACCAACACUACAUUCAUUUAACCCUUACAACGACCUCCAAGACCAACACUACAUUCAUUUAACCCUUACAACGACCUCCAAGACCAACACUACAUUAAUUUAACCCUUACAAUGACCUCCAAGACCAACACUACAUUCAUUUAACCCUUACAACGACCUCCAAGACCAACACUACAUUCAUUUAACCCUUACAACGACCUCCAAGACCAACACUACAUUCAUUUAACCCUUACAACGACCUCCAAGACAAACACUACAUUCAUUUAACCCUUUCACGUUUUAAUAUGUUGGAGGAUGGGUGUUUUAGCUUUGAUAUUGUCACUGAGAAUGUUGUCACUGAAGCUUGAUUAUUGACUUAUAUCAAGCAAUUGAAUGUUGAAAUAUAGGCUACUGCCUGCUGCAUAACUUGUCGGUAUUCCCCCAUUGAAAACUGCUGCUUGAAAUGAUUUGGCUUCUAAGCCUGCCUUUGCACACUAUCCUUCUGCGGGUCAGUCCUGUAGUCACAUCAAAUGGUACAUCUCUCCCCUACUUCUCUGAAGGUCAGUCCUGUAGUCACAUCAAAUGGUACAUCUCUCCCCUACUUCUCUGAAGGUCAGUCCUGUAGUCACAUCAAAUGGUACAUCUCUCCCCUACUUCUCUGAAGGUCAGUCCUGUAGUCACAUCAAAUGGUACAUCUCUCCCCUACUGCACAUGGUGCUGUUUUCUCAGUUUAUUCUAUUGUAUUUGAUGAAAGUGAAUAACGGCAGUCUAAAUUAGCACAAAGUUUAGCGAAACCCGUCGCCUUGACUUGCCUGUUCGCAUAAGGGGACCUUUAUUAUGCAACUUGUGUUCGGAGACCGUUGUGGAGUGGGAAAAUUGAGUGGCCGUUUAUUUUUGAAGUGUAUUUAUUUGGUUUAUCCUUAUUUGGUUAUAAGCUAUUUGCCUAUCGAUGCUGAGUUUUGAUGGCGAGGCUUCAUUCCAAGAUUUUGGCUGUUGAUACAAGGCUGAGAGGACUUUCCUAUGUUAAUGUAAAGGGACAGUGCCAAAGUGUAACCAUGUAUUUUCAGAGAUGCAGUAGGUUAAAUAAGGUUAUAGUGUGUGUGUUACCCCCAUUGAUUUUGACUUUCAAGCUGCACAUUGUGAAGGUAGCAUAUUUAAUUUGAUGUGUACUAUGGUCAGUCAUGUGCACAUCCUCUCCUUGCUCCAAGACUUAUGAGCUGAUCUGGGAUCUGCCGUAAUAGCCCUGUACAUUUCUGUGCUCUUAUAAAAAAAAAAAGUAUUUGUAUGACAAAUGUUGUCUUGUGAAGUGUCAUUUUACACCAAAAGCAGCUCCAAUGCUGCCUAUACCUCAAAUUCUAACCCUGGAUUAUCAAAAUCUGUAACAAUUAAAACCUCGACAUGUAAUCCAAACUAAUUUUUUUUGUCUACAUAUAAGACUAAAACAGCAAUGUUGGUCACACUGCGGAAACGAGAAACCAGAGACGAUAACCAUUCUAGUGGUCAUUCACUGGUGUGAAAACUGCGCCAGUGCUGCACACAGGUCCUGUGUAACAUCUCCCCUACUGGCAUUUUGAUGUUCAUGAGUUACGUCUACAGUGAGUGCAGUUACAUGCACACAAUACGAUUAUUGUGGAUAGUCAGAUUAAUAUAAUAGUUCGUUUUAAAACGUGUACAUGUUUUGCAAGAACGAUUUUCCUAAUCCUGUUUACAUGUACGCAUCUGACAUCAGGCUACCUGAUGGGACUUAAAUAAAUGCAGAAAAUUGCCAAUAAACAUA
This is a long non-coding RNA of Coregonus clupeaformis (lake whitefish), 2982 nucleotides long. RefSeq lists it as uncharacterized. The record is from RefSeq and is a predicted model, not a curated record. NCBI's taxonomy places the organism in Eukaryota, Metazoa, Chordata, Actinopteri, Salmoniformes, Salmonidae. The transcript is spliced from 7 exons.